Molecule: ribosomal RNA, 253 nt
Filed under: uncultured bacterium
Lineage: Bacteria
Description: partial 16S ribosomal RNA
Rfam family: Bacterial small subunit ribosomal RNA
Source: RNAcentral
UACAGAGGUCUCAAGCGUUGUUCGGAUUCAUUGGGCGUAAAGGGCGCGUAGGCGGGCUGCCAAGUCUGGGGUGAAAUCCCACGGCUCAACCGUGGAACUGCCUCGGAUACUGGCGGCCUCGAGGGGGGUAGGGGCGUGCGGAACUGUGGGUGGAGCGGUGAAAUGCGUUGAUAUCCACAGGAACUCCGGUGGCGAAGGCGGCACGCUGGACCUCUUCUGACGCUGAGGCGCGAAAGCCAGGGGAGCAAACGGG